AGCUUUGUGCAGUGGCAGUAUCAUAGCCAAUGAGGUUUAUCCAAGGUGUGAUUAUUGCUAAUUGAAAAACAAAAAAAG
Molecule: small nuclear RNA, 78 nt
Filed under: Saimiri boliviensis boliviensis (Bolivian squirrel monkey)
Lineage: Eukaryota; Metazoa; Chordata; Mammalia; Primates; Cebidae
Description: U4 spliceosomal RNA (ENSSBOG00000011039.1)
Rfam family: U4 spliceosomal RNA
About the family: U4 small nuclear RNA (U4 snRNA) is a component of the major U2-dependent spliceosome.
Source: RNAcentral